GAUGAACGCUGGCGGCGUGCUUAACACAUGCAAGUCGAACGGAAAGGCCCAGGCUUGCUUGGGUACUCGAUUGGCGAACGGGGGAGUAACACAUGGGGGAAAUGCCCUGCACAUCGGGAGAAGCCUUGGAGAAUGGGGAGCAUACCGGGGAGGACAUCAUGAUGGGUGGGGUGGUAGAGAGAUUUUCGGUGUGGGUUGGUCUCGCAGCCUAUCAGGUGGUUGGUCAGGUAGUUGGCUACCAAGGGGUCGACGGGUGGCCGGCCGGAGAGGGUGGACGGGCACAUGGGGACUGCGAGACGGACCAGACGCCUACGGGCGGCAGCAGUGGGGAAUAUUGCAGAAUGGGGGCAAGCCUGAGGCAGCGACGCCGCGUGCGGGAUGACGGCCUUCUGGUUGUAAACUCCUGUCGCAGGGGCCGAACCCGAAUUGACGGUACCUGGAGAAGAAGCACCGGCCAACUACGUG
This 465-nucleotide ribosomal RNA is filed under the name uncultured bacterium. Its description in RNAcentral is "partial 16S ribosomal RNA". It matches the Rfam family "Bacterial small subunit ribosomal RNA", at positions 28 to 507 of the family's 1533-position model. The record is from RNAcentral.